Molecule: ribosomal RNA, 361 nt
Filed under: Streptomyces sp. S46
Lineage: Bacteria; Bacillati; Actinomycetota; Actinomycetes; Kitasatosporales; Streptomycetaceae
Description: bacterial SSU rRNA
Rfam family: Bacterial small subunit ribosomal RNA
Source: RNAcentral
UAACACAUGCAAGUCGAACGAUNAACCUCCUUCGGGAGGGGAUUAGUGGCGAACGGGUGAGUAACACGUGGGCAAUCUGCCCUUCACUCUGGGACAAGCCCUGGAAACGGGGUCUAAUACCGGAUACGAGCCUCCAAGGCAUCUUGGNGGUUGGAAAGCUCCGGCGGUGAAGGAUGAGCCCGCGGCCUAUCAGCUUGUUGGUGAGGUAACGGCUCACCAAGGCGACGACGGGUAGCCGGCCUGAGAGGGCGACCGGCCACACUGGGACUGAGACACGGCCCAGACUCCUACGGGAGGCAGCAGUGGGGAAUAUUGCACAAUGGGCGAAAGCCUGAUGCAGCGACCCGCGUGAAGGAUGACG